RNAcentral lists this ribosomal RNA (140 nucleotides) under uncultured eukaryote. RNAcentral's name for it is "partial 18S ribosomal RNA". It matches the Rfam family "Eukaryotic small subunit ribosomal RNA", at positions 1299 to 1459 of the family's 1831-position model. The record is from RNAcentral.
UGGUGGAUCGAUUUGUCUGGUUAAUUCCGAUAACGAACGAGACUGGCCUACUAAAUAGUUCGCCAAUCCUUCAUGCGUCAGCGCUAACUUCUUAGAGGGACAAGUAGCGCUUAGCCACACGAGAAUGAGCAACAACAGCC